ACAGAAUACCAUAAGUACCAACCAAACUCCUUGCAGAUUCAGUGGUUCUGGCGUGCCUUGAGGUCCUUUGAUCAGGCAGAACGUGCGAAGUUCCUGCAGUUUGUAACUGGAACCAGCAAAGUACCACUACAAGGUUUUGUAGCAUUGGAGGGGAUGAAUGGUACUCAAAAGUUCCAGAUUCACCGUGACGACAGAUCCACCGAUAGGUUACCUUCAGCUCAUACCUGUUUCAACCAGUUGGACCUGCCUGUGUACGAAACCUACGAUAAGCUGCGUCACUAUUUAUUGAAAGCAAUUCACGAGUGUUCUGAGGGUUUUGGUUUUGCAUAAGAAAUUUUCAUUGUUCUCACAGAUCUAGCCACUAAUUUCUAGUGACUAAAUAAACCAAAAUGUUAAAAUUUGAAAGAAAAGGAAAAAAAAAAAGAAAAAUGGGUAAAACUAUCGAAAACCCCCUUGCUACAGUGUGUGCACAGUGGAAGCUUUAAUGUUCACAAGUGUAGUCUUGGGAAGCAAAGGUUGAACCAAUACCGAGACACACACAGACAAGAGUGAUUAAUCUUACUGGUGUAAUGGAAGGUUCAUCUCUAAUAUUGUAAUACUUUAUAUAAACCUUGGUUAUUGUGGCUGGAGAGUGGUGUGCGUGUGUGUUUGAAUAUCCCAUUAUUGUUUUUAGGAUUCAUUUUUAUUUUUUUUUAUUUUUUUUAUUGUUUACUAAUAUAUGAUUAAAUAGCCAACGCAAAAGGAGGUUGGGAGUUCAUUGCUGCCAAGCUAAUAUUUGCCGAAGCGUCAUAUGAGGAUAAAGUUAGACACAGAGCUACAAUGCUUGACUUGUUUAUGGCGUAGAAUAGUGUGUGGUAUUGCCAUAUACAUAAUAUACCUGAACAAAUUUCUAAACCUUUAAUUUUGGAUUUGUCUCCUUUGACUGGAUUUUCUCAGCAUAUAGUGUGUGCACAGAUUAUUGAAAAAAUAUUUUGAGCAGCUUUGGAUAUUUUAUAAAUAAAUGAACCUUCCAGCAAAUGUGAUAGACAUUACCACAUUUCUCUGCCCAGUAUACUCUUUACCCUUAAACUCACCUUUCC
Procambarus clarkii (red swamp crayfish) is the source of this 1079-nucleotide non-coding RNA. The record is from RefSeq and is a predicted model, not a curated record. NCBI's taxonomy places the organism in Eukaryota, Metazoa, Arthropoda, Malacostraca, Decapoda, Cambaridae.